CCUACGGGAGGCAGCAGUCGAGGAUUUUUCUCAAUGGGGGAAACCCUGAAGGAGCGACGCCGCGUGAGGGAUGAAGGUCUUCGGAUUGUAAACCUCUGUCAUCUGGGAACAAUGUAAUCUACCUAACACGUGGAUUAUUGAUAGUACCGGAAGAGGAAGCCGUGGCUAACUCUGUGCCAGCAGCCGCGGUAAU
RNAcentral lists this ribosomal RNA (193 nucleotides) under uncultured Verrucomicrobiales bacterium. RNAcentral's name for it is "partial 16S ribosomal RNA". It matches the Rfam family "Bacterial small subunit ribosomal RNA", at positions 338 to 524 of the family's 1533-position model. Lineage: Bacteria; Pseudomonadati; Verrucomicrobiota; Verrucomicrobiia; Verrucomicrobiales. The record is from RNAcentral.